UACGGAAGGCAGCAGUGGGGAAUAUUGCACAAUGGGCGCAAGCCUGAUGCAGCCAUGCCGCGUGUAUGAAGAAGGCCUUCGGGUUGUAAAGUACUUUCAGUCGUGAGGAAGGUGUUAAGGUUAAUAACCUUAGCAAUUGACGUUAGCGACAGAAGAAGCACCGGCUAACUCCGUGCCAGCAGCCGCGGUAAUACGGAGAGGGCUAGCGUUAUUCGGAAUUAUUGGGCGUAAAGAGCGCGUAGGCUGAUUAGUAAGUUAAAAGUGAAAUCCCAAAGCUUAACUUUGGAAUUGCUUUUUAAAACUGCUAGUCUAGAGAUUGAAAGAGGAUAGAGGAAUUCCUAGUGUAGAGGUGAAAUUCGUAAAUAUUAGGAGGAACACCAGUGGCGAAGGCGUCUAUCUGGUUCAAAUCUGACGCUGAGGCGCGAAGGGCGUGGGGAGCGAAACAGGGAUUAGAUACC
RNAcentral lists this ribosomal RNA (458 nucleotides) under uncultured bacterium. RNAcentral describes it as "bacterial SSU rRNA". It matches the Rfam family "Bacterial small subunit ribosomal RNA", at positions 340 to 786 of the family's 1533-position model. The record is from RNAcentral.